CCUACGGGGGACAGCAGUAGGGAAUAUUGCUCAAUGGGGGAAACCCUGACGCAGCAACGCCGCGUGAAGGAUGAGGUCUUCGGAUUGUAAACUCCUUUUGUUAGAGAAGAUAAUGACGGUAUCUACCGAAUAAGCACCGGCUAACUCCGUGACCGCCACAGCUGUACUACGGAAGGUGACAGCGUUACUCGGAAUCCAUGGGCGUAAAGGCCGCCUAGGCGGGAUAACAAGUCAGAUGUGAAAUCCUAGGGGUUAACCAUAGAACUGCAGUUGAAACUGUUAUUCUAGAGUAUGCGAGAGGUAGGUGGAAUGCUUGGUGUAGGGGGAAAAUCCGUAGAGAUCAAGAAGAAUACUGAUUGCGAAGGCGACAUGCUAGAACAUAACUGACGCUGAUGCGCGAAAGCGUGGGUAGCAAACAGGAUUAGAUACCCGUGUAGUC
This 439-nucleotide ribosomal RNA is filed under the name uncultured bacterium. Its description in RNAcentral is "partial 16S ribosomal RNA". It matches the Rfam family "Bacterial small subunit ribosomal RNA", at positions 338 to 795 of the family's 1533-position model. The record is from RNAcentral.